Molecule: non-coding RNA, 112 nt
Organism: Acanthosepion pharaonis
Lineage: Eukaryota; Metazoa; Mollusca; Cephalopoda; Sepiida; Sepiidae
Source: the annotation of a GenBank genome assembly
CUUGCGGCCACAUCACGUUAAAACACCGGUUGCCGUACGAACAACGAAGUUAAGCAAUGUCGAUCCUGGUCAGUACCUAUUUGAGUGACCGGUUGGAAAUAUCAGGUGCUUC